Molecule: transfer RNA, 73 nt
Filed under: Marmota monax (woodchuck)
Lineage: Eukaryota; Metazoa; Chordata; Mammalia; Rodentia; Sciuridae
Description: tRNA.Ala
Source: RNAcentral
GGGGUUGUGGCUCAGUGGCAGAGCACUCGCCUAGCAUGUGUGAGGCACUGGGUUGGUUCCAUCCUCAGUACCA